UUAGAUUAGCUAAUUACAGAUGGGCAAUGACAUGCCUGAGCGACAAUUCGAAUCAUAGAGAUGAGUAUUUAACUUUGAUAAUUGUAGUAAGUGGUGCUCCCAUGCAUUGUUAUUCCAACAAGGAGGGGGAAGAGAAGAGUGCUUCGCAAGUGCAACCGCAGUUACUUGGCCGAGUGCUUAUGCAUAAAUAUAUCUGUGGACCGGAG
Molecule: long non-coding RNA, 206 nt
Filed under: Phoenix dactylifera (date palm)
Lineage: Eukaryota; Viridiplantae; Streptophyta; Magnoliopsida; Arecales; Arecaceae
Description: long non-coding RNA (PDAC_LNC013575)
Source: RNAcentral